UCCCUGGUGGUCCAGUGGUUAAGACUCUAUGCUUCCAAUGCAGGGGGUGCAGUUUCGAUUCCUGCUUCAGGAA
Molecule: transfer RNA, 73 nt
Filed under: Bos taurus (domestic cattle)
Lineage: Eukaryota; Metazoa; Chordata; Mammalia; Artiodactyla; Bovidae
Also listed under: 1 other name
Rfam family: tRNA
About the family: Transfer RNA (tRNA) molecules are approximately 80 nucleotides in length. Their secondary structure includes four short double-helical elements and three loops (D, anti-codon, and T loops).
Source: Rfam by way of RNAcentral